RNAcentral lists this long non-coding RNA (2392 nucleotides) under Oncorhynchus mykiss (rainbow trout). RNAcentral's name for it is "lncRNA (ENSOMYG00000077468.1)". Lineage: Eukaryota; Metazoa; Chordata; Actinopteri; Salmoniformes; Salmonidae. The record is from RNAcentral.
UGUGUUGUUGUGUAUGUCCAGCUACCCAAUGGGGACUACUGGGAGGAAUGGAGUCCCUAUGGAGAAUGUAGUCGGAGCUGUGGGAGUGGGGUUACCAGGAGAACCAGGAGAUGUGUCAGCCAGAGGACUGACGGAGGGAAUAACUGUGUGGGACCAGACAAGUCCUACAGCUCCUGUAAUAUCCAGGUAAACAACAUGCUAAUUCCCCAAAUCCCCAAAAACGUUCUCUCACAGACUAUUCAUCUUGGUGUAACUCUCUCAGUCUAUUACUGUUGGUGUAACUCUCUCAGUCUAUUACUGUUGGUGUUGCUCUCUCUCAGUCUAUUACUGUUGGUGUUGCUCUCUCUCAGUCUAUUACUGUUGGUGUAGCUCUCUCUCAGUCUAUUACUGUUGGUGUAGCUCUCUCAGUCUAUUACUGUUGGUGUAACUCUCUCAGUCUAUUACUGUUGGUGUAGCUCUCUCUCAGUCUAUUACUGUUGGUGUAGCUCUCUCAGUCUAUUACUGUUGGUGUAGCUCUCUCAGUCUAUUACUGUUGGUGUAACUCUCUCAGUCUAUUACUGUUGGUGUUGCUCUCUCUCAGUCUAUUACUGUUGGUGUUGCUCUCUCUCAGUCUAUUACUGUUGGUGUAACUCUCUUAGUCUAUUACUGUUGGUGUAGCUCUCUCUCAGUCUAUUACUGUUGGUGUUGCUCUCUCUCAGUCUAUUACUGUUGGUGUAACUCUCUUAGUCUAUUACUGUUGGUGUAGCUCUCUCUCAGUCUAUUACUGUUGGUGUUGCUCUCUCUCAGUCUAUUACUGUUGGUGUUGCUCUCUCUCAGUCUAUUACUGUUGGUGUAGCUCUCUCUGUCUAUUACUGUUGGUGUAACUCUCUCAGUCUAUUACUGUUGGUGUAACUCUCUCAGUCUAUUACUGUUGGUGUAACUCUCUCUCAGUCUAUUACUGUUGGUAUAACUCUCUCAGUCUAUUACUGUUGGUGUAGCUCUCUCUCAGUCUAUUACUGUUGGUGUUGCUCUCUCUCAGUCUAUUACUGUUGGUGUAACUCUCUCUCAGUCUAUUACUGUUGGUGUAGCUCUCUCUCAGUCUAUUACUGUUGGUGUAGCUCUCUCUGUCUAUUACUGUUGGUGUAACUCUCUCAGUCUAUUACUGUUGGUGUAGCUCUCUCUCAGUCUAUUACUGUUGGUGUAACUCUCUCUCAGUCUAUUACUGUUGGUGUAGCUCUCUCUGUCUAUUACUGUUGGUGUAACUCUCUCAGUCUAUUACUGUUGGUGUAGCUCUCUCUCAGUCUAUUACUGUUGGUGUAACUCUCUCUCAGUCUAUUACUGUUGGUGUAGCUCUCUCUCAGUGUAUUACUGUUGGUGUAGCUCUCUCUCAGUCUAUUACUGUUGGUGUAGCUCUCUCUCAGUCUAUUACUGUUGGUGUAACUCUCUCUCAGUCUAUUACUCUUGGUGUAGCUCUCUCAGUCUAUUACUGUUGGUGUAGCUCUCUCUGUCUAUUACUGUUGGUGUAACUCUCUCUCAGUCUAUUACUGUUGGUGUAACUCUCUCUCAGUCUAUUACUGUUGGUGUAACUCUCUCUCAGUCUAUUACUGUUGGUGUAGCUCUCUCUGUCUAUUACUGUUGGUGUAACUCUCUCUCAGUCUAUUACUGUUGGUGUAGCUCUCUCUGUCUAUUACUGUUGGUGUAGCUCUCUCUGUCUAUUACUGUUGGUGUAGCUCUCUCUGUCUAUUACUGUUGGUGUAACUCUAUCUCUGUCUAUUACUGUUGGUGUAGCUCUCUCUGUCUAUUACUGUUGGUGUAGCUCUCUCUGUCUAUUACUGUUGGUGUAGCUCUCUCUCAGUCUAUUACUGUUGGUGUAAUUCUCUCAGUCUAUUACUGUUGGUGUAGCUCUCUCUCAGUCUAUUACUGUUGGUGUAGCUCUCUCUCAGUCUAUUACUGUUGGUGUAGCUCUCUCUCAGUCUAUUACUGUUGGUGUAGCUCUCUCAGUCUAUUACUGUUGGUGUAGCUCUCUUUCAGUCUAUUACUGUUGGUGUAAUUCUCUCAGUCUAAUACUGUUGGUGUAGCUCUCUCUCUCUCUCUCAACCCUGUUACUGUCAACCCUGUUACUGUCAACCCUGUUACUGUCAACCCUGUUACGGUCAACCCUGUUACGGUCAACCCUGUUACUGUCAACCCUGUUACUGUCAACCCUGUUACGGUCAACCCUGUUACUGUCAACCCUGUUACUGUCAACCCUGUUACGGUCAACCCUGUUACUGUCAACCCUGUUACUGUCAACCCUGUUACGGUCAACCCUGUUACGGUCAAUCCUGUUACGGUCAACCCUGUUACUGUCAACCCAGUUACUGUCAACCCUGUUACGGUCAACCCUGUUACGGUCAACCCUGGUACGGUCAAC